UGGAACUGAGAGUUCGAAGUCUGAUGAAGCCGAGCUUCUUUAGAGCUGCUUGUUUUGUUUGUUGUUUUGUUUUUUUUUUAAGGCUUUAUAACGUGCACUUCGCCAAUGAAAUGAGAAGAGAAUUUUUCGUUACCUCAUCCCCUCCUCUCUUUUUUUGGCCUUCAAGGCUUUGUAAUGUAUACUUCACCAAUGAAAUGAG
Molecule: long non-coding RNA, 199 nt
Filed under: Elaeis guineensis (African oil palm)
Lineage: Eukaryota; Viridiplantae; Streptophyta; Magnoliopsida; Arecales; Arecaceae
Description: long non-coding RNA (EGUI_LNC057063)
Source: RNAcentral